RNAcentral lists this unclassified non-coding RNA (336 nucleotides) under soil metagenome. Its description in RNAcentral is "partial contains 5.8S ribosomal RNA, internal transcribed spacer 2, and large subunit ribosomal RNA". The stretch from base 1 to 120 matches the Rfam family "5.8S ribosomal RNA", at positions 35 to 154 of the family's 154-position model. The record is from RNAcentral.
GAUGAAGAACGCAGCGAAAUGCGAUGAGUAAUGUGAAUUGCAGAAUUCAGUGAAUCAUCGAAUCUUUGAACGCACAUUGCGCCCGCCAGUAUUCUGGCGGGCAUGCCUGUUCGAGCGUCAUUUCAACCAUCAAGCCCCCGGCUUGUGUUGGGGACCUGCGGCUGCCGCAGGCCCUGAAAAGCAGUGGCGGGCUCGCUGUCACACCGAGCGUAGUAGAUUUCAUCUCGCUCAGGGCGUGCUGCGGGUUCCGGCCGUUAAACCACCUUCAUAACCCAAGGUUGACCUCGGAUCAGGUAGGAAGACCCGCUGAACUUAAGCAUAUCAAUAAGCGGAGGA